This 216-nucleotide ribosomal RNA is filed under the name uncultured prokaryote. RNAcentral describes it as "partial 16S ribosomal RNA". It matches the Rfam family "Bacterial small subunit ribosomal RNA", at positions 524 to 739 of the family's 1533-position model. The record is from RNAcentral.
GACGAACCGUGCGAACGUUGUUCGGAUUCACUGGGCUUAAAGGGCGCGUAGGCGGGCUGCCAAGUCAGGGGUGAAAGCUCCCGGCCCAACCGGGAAAGGGCCUUUGAUACUGGCGGCCUCGAGGGAGGUAGGGGCACGCGGAACUUCCGGUGGAGCGGUGAAAUGCGUAGAUAUGGGAAGGAACGCCGGUGGCGAAAGCGGCGUGCUGGACCUCUU